This 300-nucleotide unclassified non-coding RNA is filed under the name uncultured Mortierella. Its description in RNAcentral is "sequence contains 5.8S rRNA gene, ITS2". The stretch from base 1 to 71 matches the Rfam family "5.8S ribosomal RNA", at positions 84 to 154 of the family's 154-position model. The record is from RNAcentral. Lineage: Eukaryota; Fungi; Mortierellomycota; Mortierellomycetes; Mortierellales; Mortierellaceae.
GUGAGUCAUCGAAUCUUUGAACGCAUAUUGCGCUCUUUGGUAUUCCGAAGAGCAUGCUUGUUUGAGUAUCAGUAAACACCUCAAAGCUUUUGGAUUUUUUAAUCGAAAAGCUUUGGACUUGAGCAAUCCCAACACCAAUCUUUUUGAGAUCGGUGGCGGGUUGCUUGAAAUGCAGGUGCAGCUGGACAUUCUCCUGAGCUAAAAGCAUAUUCAUUUAGUCCCGUCAAACGGAUUAUUACUUUUGCUCUAGCUAAUAUAAAGGUCGAAUGUACUAUACGCUGACUGAUGCAGGAUUACCAA